AAAUUUUUUUCUUGACGAAGAAUUGAAGCUCCCUCUGUUAUUAUUCGCAAUGCAACGCUUUCUUCCAGUCUCCCUUCUUUCAUAAGGUGUGCCUUUAAGAUAUCCACACGUGGCUUGCCAUCAUUAUCAAACACUUCCUUAGCUGUGAGCCGGUGACUUGGAGGAAAUGGGACAGCUUUCACCACCCUGUCCGUCGUCGACAACUUGGGCUCGCUGGCCUUGUGCUCCGACAUGUCCGGCGGCGCGGCGCUCCCUCGCGCACAGCGGGCACGGGCUGAGGCGGCCGCCGCUGCGGGCAGCGCUCCGGCUGCUGCGCCGGGGCCGAAGUUGCCGCGUCCCGCCGCUCCGCCGGGCUCGGCUCUGCGCGCGGUGCCUUCCUCCUUCGUCUUCCUCCACCCCCGUCCUCCUCCUCCGCCUCCUCUUCCUCCUCC
This 431-nucleotide long non-coding RNA is filed under the name Gallus gallus (chicken). Lineage: Eukaryota; Metazoa; Chordata; Aves; Galliformes; Phasianidae. The record is from RNAcentral.